This 500-nucleotide ribosomal RNA is filed under the name uncultured archaeon. Its description in RNAcentral is "partial 16S ribosomal RNA". It matches the Rfam family "Archaeal small subunit ribosomal RNA", at positions 330 to 830 of the family's 1478-position model. The record is from RNAcentral.
GUGCAACAGCCGGCAAACUUUCUUUUUGCAACAACGCMUUAGCGGAGCCUCCCACUGACAGGUCCUAAAWGCUGGGCSUUCMAAUAGUUUAAAAACCUUUUUAAGAAAGGGCCGGGCAAGACCGGUGCCAGCCGCCGCGGUAAYACCGGCGGCUCGAGUGGURACCRCUAUUAUUGGGCCUAAAGGGUCCGUAGCCGGUUUGAUAAGUCUCUUGGGAAAUCUGCCGGCUUAACCGGUAGGCGUUCCAGGGAUACUGUCAGGCUAGRGRCCGGAAGAGGUGAGAGGUACUYCAGGGGUAGGAGUGAAAUCCUGUAAUCCUUGGGGGACCACCUGUGGCGAAGGCGUCUCACCAGAACGGCUCCGACAGUGAGGGACGAAAGCUAGGGGCGCGAACCGGAUUAGAUACCCGGGUAGUCCUAGCCGUAAACGAUGCGCGCUAGGUGUWKSGGUGGCCCCGASCKUUCUAGGUGCCGAAGAGAAGCCGUGAAGCGAGCCGCCUG